Molecule: long non-coding RNA, 900 nt
Organism: Parus major (Great Tit)
Lineage: Eukaryota; Metazoa; Chordata; Aves; Passeriformes; Paridae
Exons: 2
Source: RefSeq, a predicted model, not a curated record
ACCGGCACAGGGGACACCCCCAAACACGGGGACACCCCUAAACAACGGAACACGGGACAUCCCAAAGGGAGGUGACACCCCCAAGCACCGGCAAAAGGGACAGGGGACACUCCCGGAGAAAGGUGACACCGUGAAACAUCGGCAGAGGAGACACCCCCCGCCCCGGGAACGCUCGGUGAGGCGCGGGGAUGACACGGCCCCGCGGGAGGGGGACACACCGGCUGUGCACCGCGCAAUGGGAUCCCCCGGGGGGGGAUCUCUCUUGGAAUCCUGACACGUGCAGCCUCCCAUUGCAAUGUACUCCUGUGGAAAGCAGGAGUAAAACAGCACUAAUUUCAGCACAUUACACGUCUGCAGGUGUUGUUUCCACUUUAAUGAGACAUAAUUUUCAAGGAAAUCUGCUCCUGGCUACCCAUGGCAACUCCUGAAUCACAGAGGAUUAUGGAAAAAACCUCAGGCUGGCAUCCCUUACCUUCAAAAAGCUCUGAGAAGUCUCAAUCAGGGGCAGUUUGAUGGUGAAAUUGUAGAAUGAGUGAUUUUACUGAGCAGAACCUGAUGUGCCUUUUCUUGCUGACUUCCUAGAUGUGUUGUUGCAACUUUAAAAUUGCUUUAAAAUGCUGAUUUGUAACAAUUCCAUGAAUAAAGCAUCAGGUGAGCACAGCAGAGACACUCAGUGCUGUGGGUUGUCACACAUGCUUGUAAUCAGCUUGAAACUUGCUCUGAGCAGGUCAUGGGCUUUGCACAGGAGGGAAAAUGGGUCUAAACUACACAAAUUCAUGGCAGGAAGAUGGUAAAAUUAAGAAUGGUGUGUGUGUCCUCACUGUGCUUCAGAAAUAAACCAACUGUCUUUAAACCUGCUCUGUGUGAGCUGGAAAUAGAUAAAGAAAUAAAAAAUAAAAA